Molecule: non-coding RNA, 1479 nt
Organism: Ictidomys tridecemlineatus (thirteen-lined ground squirrel)
Lineage: Eukaryota; Metazoa; Chordata; Mammalia; Rodentia; Sciuridae
Source: RefSeq, a predicted model, not a curated record
ACCUCGCAGUUCGGUGCGGAGGAGGCUGGAGCGGACGCACCGCCCCCUCCUUCUCCCGUUCCCGGCGCCGCGCAUAAUUACCUUAUCAGCUCCGGUGCCCCGCCCCCAUCCGAGCAGCACGAAUCCAGUGCGUGUUCCCGUUCCUCCAUCCCUGCUGCCUAGCCUCAAGCCUCGUCAGGUCCCCCUGGGAUCAAAGCAACGGUCUCCUGACUAGUUUCCCUCUGGGUCUUCUCCCAGCAAUCUGGGCACGGCAACCUGUGUGAUCGGAUCACUGCAUGCUUCUUUACAAAAUAUAGCGAAGCCUGUUAAUGCUGACAGUCUUAGUGAGGGUGCUGCCCCAGGCAUGCUCAUUCUGCUGGCAGAUGGAGAAACUGAGACCCGGAGAAGAAAUAUGUGCUGUCCGGGACAGAGCCCAAACUGGCAGUCAAGAUCUCUACACAGUGAGAGCUUACUAUUCAUCCAUACUGAGUUCUCCUAUGCAUAAAAAUAGUGUUCAGAGACUGACCACAGACUCCUAAGAAAUUUACCCUGGUUAUUUAUCUACCUUCACAGUAGCCCCACGAGAGACAUGAUAUUAUUUAUCCCAUUGCAGAGAUGAGGAACUGAAGCAUAGCUCAAGGUCAUGAAGCAAAUCCCCAACCCAACUGACACACCAAGCCCCUCAAAAUUUUCCUCCUACUUGGAUCCCAGGAGUGUAUCAUUCUCACUGGCUACUCCUGCCUCUUCUAGGGGAGUUUUUAUGGUCUGCCUUCUGGCCACAGCUGUUGCACCAGGGCUGGACAUCUGAACCAAGGGAAAGCAAGAAACAGAUUGACUGAGCCACUUAAGUCCUCUCUUGGGAGUAUUUGAACUAAGAAAAUGCAGAAGCUAAGUUAUUUAGAUGGUGGUGCGAACAGGAGACCAGUACCUGGAAGCCACCAUGAGCUAGGGUGAGCCAGGAGAAAAGAGUGGAUCAAAGGCAUGAGGGAAACAGAGAGAAAGAAACUGGGCUUACCCCAGCUGUGCUUGUGGGUGUGUCUGUGGACACACACCCUCCACCUUCACUAAACAGUCAAAUAGUACCCAACACCCAGCACAGUGUCUUCUCAGAUCCCAUGAGAUCUGACUGUAUUUUCCACUACUGGGUUCUCUGAAAUUCCCAUCUGUCUUCUCAGGAAAUCCUCUUUUCACUUCCACCGUUUGAGCAUGUUGGUCCUUGCAGCCUAUGAGCAGGCCUAAAACACCAGCUCGUGCAAUCUACCGGCUCAGGGCCUGCUUCCCUCAGGAAGCCUCCCCCGCUCUGCGUUCUCAUCUUCCCCAGGCAGAUCAUAAACCAACCGUGGCAGCCAUAACUUCCAUUUCCCUCCCACCAUUUCACUCCUCCUUGAUUGAUUGACUCUUCUAACUUUGGGGUACCCAUAUUUCAUUUUAACACUUGAAGCUGGACUAUCCUUAUUGCUAUCAGCUUAUAUUCUAAUAAAUCCAUGUGUUUAUCCCUCA